ACAUGGAUUUCCAAGUGUCGCAAGUAGAGGAGAAAUGGAGAAAAUGGAAAGCAAAGAAUGGAUGAAAAUUGUAAAUCAGCAGUUUCGAACUUUUCAAAAAUUUGUUAAAAAUAUUAAUUUUUCAAUUUAAUUGAAUUUUGUUUUACAAGGUGGAUACUAUGGAGGAAAAAACAAGAUAUGUAUGGAAAAGGUAGCGAUCGCAAAGGAAAAAAAAUAUUAGAAAAGGAAAUGGAAUGAAAUUAAUUGAACGAAAUGAAAA
Schizosaccharomyces pombe (fission yeast) is the source of this 259-nucleotide non-coding RNA. The record is from the annotation of a GenBank genome assembly. Lineage: Eukaryota; Fungi; Ascomycota; Schizosaccharomycetes; Schizosaccharomycetales; Schizosaccharomycetaceae.